AGCUCCAAUAGCGUAUAUUAAAGUUGUUGCAGUUAAAAAGCUCGUAGUUGGAUUUGGGACUGGAGUCGUCGGGUCGGCCGCGAGGUCUGUUACUGGACGGCUCCGUCAUUUCAUCUCUCGGAGACCCGUCGUGCACUUCGCUGUGCGCGGCGCGGGACUCGGGACGUUUACUUUGAAAAAAUUAGAGUGUUCAAAGCAGGCUUUUCAAGCCCGGAUACAUGAGCAUGGAAUAAUGGAAUAGGACAAGUCAAUUUUAUUGGUUAUUUGACUUGUAAUGAUUAACAGGGACAGUUGGGGGCGUUUGUAUUCAAUAGUCAGAGGUGAAAUUCUUGGAUUUGUUGAAGACAAACUAAUGCGAAAGCAUUCGCCAAGGAUGUUUUCAUUAAUCAAGAACGAAAGU
RNAcentral lists this ribosomal RNA (400 nucleotides) under phytoplankton environmental sample. Its description in RNAcentral is "partial small subunit ribosomal RNA". It matches the Rfam family "Eukaryotic small subunit ribosomal RNA", at positions 587 to 990 of the family's 1831-position model. The record is from RNAcentral.